RNAcentral lists this ribosomal RNA (650 nucleotides) under Vibrio alginolyticus. RNAcentral describes it as "bacterial SSU rRNA". It matches the Rfam family "Bacterial small subunit ribosomal RNA", at positions 62 to 692 of the family's 1533-position model. The record is from RNAcentral. Lineage: Bacteria; Pseudomonadati; Pseudomonadota; Gammaproteobacteria; Vibrionales; Vibrionaceae.
UCGAGCGGAACGAGUUAUCUGAACCUUCGGGGGACGAUAACGGCGUCGAGCGGCGGACGGGUGAGUAAUGCCUAGGAAAUUGCCCUGAUGUGGGGGAUAACCAUUGGAAACGAUGGCUAAUACCGCAUGAUGCCUACGGGCCAAAGAGGGGGACCUUCGGGCCUCUCGCGUCAGGAUAUGCCUAGGUGGGAUUAGCUAGUUGGUGAGGUAAGGGCUCACCAAGGCGACGAUCCCUAGCUGGUCUGAGAGGAUGAUCAGCCACACUGGAACUGAGACACGGUCCAGACUCCUACGGGAGGCAGCAGUGGGGAAUAUUGCACAAUGGGCGCAAGCCUGAUGCAGCCAUGCCGCGUGUGUGAAGAAGGCCUUCGGGUUGUAAAGCACUUUCAGUCGUGAGGAAGGUAGUGUCGUUAAUAGCGGCAUUACUUGACGUUAGCGACAGAAGAAGCACCGGCUAACUCCGUGCCAGCAGCCGCGGUAAUACGGAGGGUGCGAGCGUUAAUCGGAAUUACUGGGCGUAAAGCGCAUGCAGGUGGUUUGUUAAGUCAGAUGUGAAAGCCCGGGGCUCAACCUCGGAAUAGCAUUUGAAACUGGCAGACUAGAGUACUGUAGAGGGGGGUAGAAUUUCAGGUGUAGCGGUGAAAUGCGUA